This 1394-nucleotide ribosomal RNA is filed under the name uncultured Lactobacillus sp. Its description in RNAcentral is "bacterial SSU rRNA". It matches the Rfam family "Bacterial small subunit ribosomal RNA", at positions 11 to 1365 of the family's 1533-position model. The record is from RNAcentral. Lineage: Bacteria; Bacillati; Bacillota; Bacilli; Lactobacillales; Lactobacillaceae.
GUUUGAUCCUGGCUCAGGACGAACGCUGGCGGCGUGCCUAAUACAUGCAAGUCGAGCGAGCCGAACUAAUUGAUUACCUUCGGGUAUGAAGUUAGGGAAGCGAGCGGCGGAUGGGUGAGUAACACGUGGGUAACCUACCCUAUAGUCUGGGAUACCACUUGGAAACAGGUGCUAAUACCGGAUAAAAGGAGAGAUCACAUGAUUUCUCUUUGAAAGGCGGCGUAAGCUGUCGCUAAAGGAUGGACCCGCGGUGCAUUAGCUAGUUGGUAAGGUAACGGCUUACCAAGGCAACGAUGCAUAGCCGAGUUGAGAGACUGAUCGGCCACAUUGGGACUGAGACACGGCCCAAACUCCUACGGGAGGCAGCAGUUAGGGAAUUCUUCCCAAUUGGACGCCAAGUUCUGAUGGAGCAACGCCGCGUGGAGUGAAGAAGGUUUUCGAUCGUAAAGCUUCUGUUGUUGGUGAAGAAAGAUAGUGAGAGUAACUGCUCAUUAUUUGCCGGUAAUCAACCAGAAAGUCACGGCUAACUACGUGCCAGCAGCCGCGGUAAUACGUAGGUGGCAAGCGUUGUCUGGAUUUAUUGGGCGUAAAGCGAGCGCAGGCGGAAAGAUAAGUCAGAUGUGAAAGCCCUCGGCUUAACCGAGGAAUAGCAUCGGAAACUGUCUUUCUUGAGUGCAGAAGAGGAGAGUGGAACUCCAUGUGUAGCGGUGGAAUGCGUAGAUAUAUGGAAGAACACCAGUGGCGAAAGCGGCUCUCUGGUCUGUAACUGACGCUGAGGCUCGAAAGCAUGGGUAGCGAACAGGAUUAGAUACCCUGGUAGUCCAUGCUGUAAACGAUGAGUGCUAAGUGUUGGGAGGUUUCCGCCUCUCAGUGCUGCAGCUAACGCAUUAAGCACUCCGCCUGGGGAGUACGACCGCAAGGUUAAAACUCAAAGGAAUUGACGGGGGCCCGCACAAGCGGUGGAGCAUGGUGGUUUAAUUCGAAGCAACGCGAAGAACCUUUACCAGGUCUUGACAUCUAGUGCCAACCUAGAGAUUAGGCGUUCCCUUCGGGGACACUAAGACAGGUGGUGCAUGGCUGUCGUCAGCUCGUGUCGUGAGAUGUGGGUUAAGUCCCGCAACGAGCGCAACCCUUAUUAUUAGUUGCCAGCAUAAGUUGGGCCACCUCUUAAUGAGAACUGCCGGUGACAAACCGGAGGAAGGUGGGGAUGACGUCAAGUCAUCAUGCCCCUUAUGACCUGGGCUACACACGUGCUACAAUGGGCAGUACAACGAGGAGCGAACUUGUGAAGGCAAGCGAAUCUCUGAAAGCUGUUCUCAGUUCGGACUGUAGGCUGCAACUCGCCUAUACGAAGCUGGAAUCGCUAGUAAUCGCGGAUCAGCACGCCGCGGUGA